This 497-nucleotide ribosomal RNA is filed under the name uncultured bacterium. RNAcentral describes it as "partial 16S ribosomal RNA". It matches the Rfam family "Bacterial small subunit ribosomal RNA", at positions 28 to 507 of the family's 1533-position model. The record is from RNAcentral.
GAUGAACGCUGGCGGCGUGCCUAAUACAUGCAAGUCGAGCGAACGGACGAGAAGCUUGCUUCUCUGAUGUUAGCGGCGGACGGGUGAGUAACACGUGGAUAACCUACCUAUAAGACUGGGAUAACUUCGGGAAACCGGAGCUAAUACCGGUUAAUAUUUUGAACCGCAUGGUUCAAAAGUGAAAGACGGUCUUGCUGUCACUUAUAGAUGGAUCCGCGCUGCAUUAGCUAGUUGGUAAGGUAACGGCUUACCAAGGCAACGAUGCAUAGCCGACCUGAGAGGGUGAUCGGCCACACUGGAACUGAGACACGGUCCAGACUCCUACGGGAGGCAGCAGUAGGGAAUAUUCCGCAAUGGGCGAAAGCCUGACGGAGCAACGCCGCGUGAGUGAUGAAGGUCUUCGGAUCGUAAAACUCUGUUAUUAGGGAAGAACAUAUGUGUAAGUAACUGUGCACAUCUUGACGGUACCUAAUCAGAAAGCCACGGCUAACUACGUG